CCAAACUUGGUCAUUUAGAGGAAGUAAAAGUCGUAACAAGGUCUCCGUAGGUGAACCUGCGGAGGGAUCAUUAUCGAAUGGUCGUCUCGACCUUCAAACCCUCAAACCUGUGGAAACAAAUUGUGUUUCGGCGCCUCGGCGUCGCUUUUAUGCUGAAAACAUAAGCUUUGUCUGAACAAAAGUGAAAAAUCAAAAACUUUCAACAAAGGAUCUCUUGGCUCUCUAGAGGAAGUAAAAGUCGUAACAAGGUCUCCGUAGGUGAACCUGCGGAGGGAUCAUUAUCGAAUGGUCGUCUCGACCUUCAAACCCUCAAACCUGUGGAAACAAAUUGUGUUUCGGCGCCUCGGCGUCGCUUUUAUGCUGAAAACAUAAGCUUUGUCUGAACAAAAGUGAAAAAUCAAAAACUUUCAACAAAGGAUCUCUUGGCUCUCGCAUCGAUGAAGAACGCAGC
This 451-nucleotide unclassified non-coding RNA is filed under the name uncultured fungus. Its description in RNAcentral is "partial contains small subunit ribosomal RNA, internal transcribed spacer 1, and 5.8S ribosomal RNA". The stretch from base 1 to 73 matches the Rfam family "Eukaryotic small subunit ribosomal RNA", at positions 1759 to 1831 of the family's 1831-position model. The record is from RNAcentral. Lineage: Eukaryota; Fungi.